UUAGAGUUUGAUCCUGGCUCAAGAUGAACGCUGGCGGCGCGCCUAACACAUGCAAGUCGAACGGCACCCCUCCUCGGAGGGAAGCGAGUGGCGAACGGCUGAGUAACACGUGGAGAACCUGCCCCCUCCCCCGGGAUAGCCGCCCGAAAGGACGGGUAAUACCGGAUACCCCGGGGUGCCGCAUGGCACCCCGGCUAAAGCCCCGACGGGAGGGGAUGGCUCCGCGCCCCAUCAGGUAGACGGUGGGGUGACGGCCCUCCGUGCCGACAGGGGGUAGCGGGGUUGAAAAACAGACCGGCCAGAUUGGGACUGAGACACGGCCCACACUCCUAAGGGAGGCAGCAGUGGGGAAUCUUGCGCAGUGGGGGGAACCUGGACCCAGCAACGCUGCGUGCGGGACGGGAGGCCUUCGGGGUCGUAAACCGCUUUCAGCAGGGAAGAGUCAAGACUGUACCUGCAGAAGAAGCCCCGGCUAACUACGUGCCAGCAGCCGCGGUAAUACGUAGGGGGCGAGCGUUAUCCGGAUUCAUUGGGCGUAAAGCGCGCGUAGGCGCCCCGGCAGGCCGGGGGUCGAAGCGGGGGGCUCAACCCCCCGAAGCCCCCGGAACCUCCGCGGCUUGGGUCCGGUAGGGGAGGGUGGAACACCCGGUGUAGCGGUGGAAUGCGCAGAUAUCGGGUGGAACACCGGUGGCGAAGGCGGCCCUCUGGGCCGAGACCGACGCUGAGGCGCGAAAGCUGGGGGAGCGAACAGGAUUAGAUACCCUGGUAGUCCCAGCCGUAAACGAUGGACGCUAGGUGUGGGGGGACGAUCCCCCCGUGCCGCAGCCAACGCAUUAAGCGUCCCGCCUGGGGAGUACGGCCGCAAGGCUAAAACUCAAAGGAAUUGACGGGGGCCCGCACAAGCAGCGGAGCAUGUGGCUUAAUUCGAAGCAACGCGAAGAACCUUACCAGGGCUUGACAUAUGGGUGAAGCGGGGGAGACCCCGUGGCCGAGAGGAGCCCAUACAGGUGGUGCAUGGCUGUCGUCAGCUCGUGUCGUGAGAUGUUGGGUUAAGUCCCGCAACGAGCGCAACCCCCGCCGCGUGUUGCCAUCGGGUGAUGCCGGGAACCCACGCGGGACCGCCGCCGUCAAGGCGGAGGAGGGCGGGGACGACGUCAAGUCAUCAUGCCCCUUAUGCCCUGGGCUGCACACGUGCUACAAUGGCCGGUACAGAGGGAUGCCACCCCGCGAGGGGGAGCGGAUCCCGGAAAGCCGGCCCCAGUUCGGAUUGGGGGCUGCAACCCGCCCCCAUGAAGUCGGAGUUGCUAGUAAUCGCGGAUCAGCAUGCCGCGGUGAAUGCGUUCCCGGGCCUUGCACA
Molecule: ribosomal RNA, 1357 nt
Filed under: uncultured bacterium
Lineage: Bacteria
Description: 16S ribosomal RNA
Rfam family: Bacterial small subunit ribosomal RNA
Source: RNAcentral